RNAcentral lists this ribosomal RNA (274 nucleotides) under uncultured bacterium. RNAcentral describes it as "partial 16S ribosomal RNA". It matches the Rfam family "Bacterial small subunit ribosomal RNA", at positions 523 to 796 of the family's 1533-position model. The record is from RNAcentral.
AUACGGAGGGGGCUAGCGUUGUUCGGAAUUACUGGGCGUAAAGCGCGCGUAGGCGGUUUGUUAAGCGAGAUGUGAAAGCCCUGGGCUCAACCUGGGAACUGCAUUUCGAACUGGCAGGCUAGAGUACAAGAGAGGGUGGUAGAAUUUCCUGUGUAGCGGUGAAAUGCGUAGAUAUAGGAAGGAAUACCAGUGACGAAGGCGGCCACCUGGCCCGGUACUGACGCUGAGGUGCGAAAGCGUGGGGAGCAAACAGGAUUAGAAACCCUGGUAGUCC